AUUGAACGCUGGCGGCGUGCCUAAUACAUGCAAGUCGAACGACGAAAGCCUUCGGGCGAGUAAGAGUGGCGCACGGGCGAGGAACACGUAGAUAAUCUGCCCCUUGCUGGGGAAUAACUCUCCGAAAGGAGUGCUAAUACCGCAUAAGACCACAGGGCCUGCGGGCCUAGGGGUUAAAGGAGCAAUUCGGCAAGGGAUGAGUCUGCGUCCGAUUAGCUAGUUGGUGAGGUAAAGGCUUACCAAGGCAAUGAUCGGUAGAUGGUCUGAGAGGAUGAUCAUCCGCACUGGAACUGAGACACGGUCCAGACUCCUACGGGAGGCAGCAGUAGGGAAUAUUGCACAAUGGGCGAAAGCCUGAUGCAGCAACGCCGCGUGAGUGAUGAAGGCCCUCGGGUCGUAAAGCUCUGUCGUGUGGGAGAAAAAAUGACGGUACCACACAAGAAAGGACCGGCCAACUUCGUGCCAGCAGCCGCGGU
RNAcentral lists this ribosomal RNA (476 nucleotides) under uncultured bacterium. RNAcentral's name for it is "bacterial SSU rRNA". It matches the Rfam family "Bacterial small subunit ribosomal RNA", at positions 30 to 521 of the family's 1533-position model. The record is from RNAcentral.